This 492-nucleotide ribosomal RNA is filed under the name uncultured bacterium. Its description in RNAcentral is "partial 16S ribosomal RNA". It matches the Rfam family "Bacterial small subunit ribosomal RNA", at positions 29 to 507 of the family's 1533-position model. The record is from RNAcentral.
AGUGAACGCUGGCGGUAGGCCUAACACAUGCAAGUCGAACGGCAGCACAGUAAGAGCUUGCUCUUACGGGUGGCGAGUGGCGGACGGGUGAGGAAUACAUCGGAAUCUACUUUUUCGUGGGGGAUAACGUAGGGAAACUUACGCUAAUACCGCAUACGACCUACGGGUGAAAGCAGGGGAUCUUCGGACCUUGCGCGAUUGAAUGAGCCGAUGUCGGAUUAGCUAGUUGGCGGGGUAAAGGCCCACCAAGGCGACGAUCCGUAGCUGGUCUGAGAGGAUGAUCAGCCACACGGGAUCUGAGACACGGUCCAGACUCCUACGGGAGGCAGCAGUGGGGAAUAUUAGACAAUGGGCGCGAGCCUGAUCCAGCCAUACCGCGUGGGUGAAGAAGGCCUUCGGGUUGUAAAGCCCUUUUGUUGGGAAAGAAAAGCAGCAGGUUAAUACCCCGCUGUUCUGACGGUACCCAAAGAAUAAGCACCGGCUAACUUCGUG